This 73-nucleotide transfer RNA is filed under the name Actinomycetota bacterium. RNAcentral's name for it is "tRNA-Gly". It matches the Rfam family "tRNA". From Rfam's summary of the family: Transfer RNA (tRNA) molecules are approximately 80 nucleotides in length. Lineage: Bacteria; Bacillati; Actinomycetota. The record is from RNAcentral.
GCGGAAGUAGCUCAGGUGGUAGAGCAUCGCCCUUCCAGGGUGAGGGUCAUGGGUUCGAACCCCAUCUUCCGCU